UACGUAGGGGGCAAGCGUUGUCCGGAAUUAUUGGGCGUAAAGAGCGUGUAGGCGGCUAGAUAGGUCCGUUGUGAAAACUCGAGGCUCAACCUCGAGACGUCGAUGGAAACCAUCUGGCUAGAGUCCGGAAGAGGAGAGUGGAAUUCCUGGUGUAGCGGUGAAAUGCGCAGAUAUCAGGAAGAACACCAAUGGCGAAAGCAGCUCUCUGGGACGGUACUGACGCUGAGACGCGAAAGCGUGGGGAGCGAACAGG
Molecule: ribosomal RNA, 253 nt
Filed under: uncultured bacterium
Lineage: Bacteria
Description: partial 16S ribosomal RNA
Rfam family: Bacterial small subunit ribosomal RNA
Source: RNAcentral